AUGAUGCUGUUGUGGCUGUUGGCAGGAAGCUUCCUCACAUUUUCAGUUUAAAUGCAUUCCUCCUGAUCUUUCCAAAAGACGGAGGCAGAACAGCUGGUUGCCAUACUCCGCAUAAAGUCCUUUGGGUAAAUUGAAGGCAUUUAGUGCUAUAAAUUUCCCUCUACACACAGAAAUACAAACUACCAUCAGAGAAUACUACAAACACCUCUACGCAAAUAAACUAGAAAAUCUAGAAGAAAUGGAUACAUUCCUCGACACAUACACUCUCCCAAGACUAAACCAGGAAGAAGUUGAAUCUCUGAAUCGACCAAUAACAGGCUCUGAAAUUGUGGCAAUAAUCAAUAGUUUACCAACCAAAAAGAGUCCAGGACCAGAUGGAUUCACAGCCGAAUUCUACCAGAGGUACAAGGAGGAACUGGUACCAUUCCUUCUGAAACUAUUCCAAUCAAUAGAAAAAGAGGGAAUCCUCCCUAACUCAUUUUAUGAGGCCAGCAUCAUUCUGAUACCAAAGCCGGGCAGAGACACAACCAAAAAAGAGAAUUUUAGACCAAUAUCCUUGA
This 560-nucleotide long non-coding RNA is filed under the name Homo sapiens (human). RNAcentral's name for it is "novel transcript". The record is from RNAcentral. Lineage: Eukaryota; Metazoa; Chordata; Mammalia; Primates; Hominidae.